AUCCCAUGAUGGGACAUCUUCUCAGUAGUUUUUUAAAUCUCUCCCAAGCUUCAUACAAGGAUUCACCAUCAAAUUGUGUGAAUGAGGUGAUAUCGCUCCUAAUUUU
RNAcentral lists this small nucleolar RNA (106 nucleotides) under Theobroma cacao (cacao). RNAcentral's name for it is "Plant small nucleolar RNA R71". It matches the Rfam family "Plant small nucleolar RNA R71". From Rfam's summary of the family: R71 is a member of the C/D box family of snoRNAs containing the C (UGAUGA) and D (CUGA) box motifs. The record is from Rfam by way of RNAcentral. Lineage: Eukaryota; Viridiplantae; Streptophyta; Magnoliopsida; Malvales; Malvaceae.